This 405-nucleotide unclassified non-coding RNA is filed under the name soil metagenome. RNAcentral's name for it is "partial contains 5.8S ribosomal RNA, internal transcribed spacer 2, and large subunit ribosomal RNA". The stretch from base 1 to 121 matches the Rfam family "5.8S ribosomal RNA", at positions 35 to 154 of the family's 154-position model. The record is from RNAcentral.
GAUGAAGAACGCAGCGAAAUGCGAUAAGUAAUGUGAAUUGCAGAAUUCAGUGAAUCAUCGAAUCUUUGAACGCACCUUGCGCCCUUUGGCCAUUCCGAAGGGCAUGCCUGUUUGAGUAUCAUGAACACAUCAACUCUUUAUGGUUUUCCAUGAUGAGCUUGGACUUUGGGGGUUUUGCUGGCCUAUGGUCGGCUCCUCUAAAAUAAAUCAGCUUACCGGUGUUUGGUGGGUAUCAUGGGUGUGAUAACUAUCUACGCUUGUGGUUUUUCCACCAGGUAACCUUCGACAGCGGAGGUUCACUGGAGCUCAUAGAUGUCUCUCCUCAGCGAGGACAGCCCUUUGAAUGUUUGAUCUCAAAUCAGGUAGGACUACCCGCUGAACUUAAGCAUAUCAAUAAGCGGAGGA